AGUGAACGCUGGCGGUAGGCCUAACACAUGCAAGUCGAACGGCAGCACAGUAAGAGCUUGCUCUUACGGGUGGCGAGUGGCGGACGGGUGAGGAAUACAUCGGAAUCUACUUUUUCGAGGGGGAUAACGUAGGGAAACUUACGCUAAUACCGCAUACGACCUACGGGUGAAAGCAGGGGAUCUUCGGACCUUGCGCGAUUGAAUGAGCCGAUGUCGGAUUAGCUAGUUGGCGGGGUAAAGGCCCACCAAGGCGACGAUCCGUAGCUGGUCUGAGAGGAUGAUCAGCCACACUGGAACUGAGACACGGUCCAGACUCCUACGGGAGGCAGCAGUGGGGAAUAUUGGACAAUGGGCGCAAGCCUGAUCCAGCCAUACCGCGUGGGUGAAGAAGGCCUUCGGGUUGUAAAGCCCUUUUGUUGGGAAAGAAAAGCAGCAGGUUAAUACCCCGCUGUUCUGACGGUACCCAAAGAAUAAGCACCGGCUAACUUCGUG
RNAcentral lists this ribosomal RNA (492 nucleotides) under uncultured bacterium. RNAcentral's name for it is "partial 16S ribosomal RNA". It matches the Rfam family "Bacterial small subunit ribosomal RNA", at positions 29 to 507 of the family's 1533-position model. The record is from RNAcentral.